CCGUUCCUUCCUUUCUUGGUUGCUUGUUCGAGAGACAUGGACGUCCAUAAGGUCAAGAGGUCGGGCUUGUGCUUGUUGUUGCUCAUGGCAUUCCUGUUGCUUCCUGCAGGGUCUGAAGGUGAAGGUGAAGGUGGGACUUGCACAACGUUCAGCAAGACCUACUCCCACCCUUUUUGUGUGCCUUUACCUUGCCACAGGGGCGGAGCCAGAAAAUUUAGUUGAUGGGUUCAUUAAAGAGAGGAUUUGGUCUAAUUAAUUCAAUGUAAAGUCCAAUUUCACACCACCUUACAUCAAAUAUAUAGUAGUCCCCUUCAAGGAAGAACAAAAAAUAUAGCACUAAAAAUACAUUAAAGAGAGAAACAUAAUAUCACUUGUGUUAUUUCA
This is a long non-coding RNA of Triticum aestivum (bread wheat), 384 nucleotides long. RefSeq lists it as uncharacterized. The transcript has 2 exons. Lineage: Eukaryota; Viridiplantae; Streptophyta; Magnoliopsida; Poales; Poaceae. The record is from RefSeq and is a predicted model, not a curated record.